UCGACGAAGCUUCAGCCACCUACUCGAGGUGUUGUUCCACCGCCGAUAUUUUUGGUCUUUCUGAUCAGUUGAGGAUCAACAGAAGGUUUUGGGUAUAAGAUCAACCCUUUGAUUUACAACAGCGACCAUCCUAUGUUGUGAGCCAACAGAGAAGUCUUCGAAUUGGAUUUUGACGCGAGACGAGUAUCUCGAUGUCGGAUUUGGACAUUCCUAUUAGAGGCGGG
This is a long non-coding RNA of Zingiber officinale, 224 nucleotides long. RefSeq lists it as uncharacterized. The record is from RefSeq and is a predicted model, not a curated record. The transcript is spliced from 3 exons. NCBI's taxonomy places the organism in Eukaryota, Viridiplantae, Streptophyta, Magnoliopsida, Zingiberales, Zingiberaceae.